Molecule: ribosomal RNA, 230 nt
Filed under: Nostoc sp. ATCC 43529
Lineage: Bacteria; Bacillati; Cyanobacteriota; Cyanophyceae; Nostocales; Nostocaceae
Description: partial 16S ribosomal RNA
Rfam family: Bacterial small subunit ribosomal RNA
Source: RNAcentral
UCGCCUUCGUGAAGGAGGAAUCGCUAGUAAUUGCAGGUCAGCAUACUGCAGUGAAUUCGUUCCCGGGCCUUGUACACACCGCCCGUCACACCAUGGAAGCUGGCAACGCCCGAAGUCAUUACUCCAACCCUCGGGGGGAGGAUGCCUAAGGCAGUGCUGGUGACUGGGGUGAAGUCGUAACAAGGUAGCCGUACCGGAAGGUGUGGCUGGAUCACCUCCUUUUUAGGGAG